CCUGAACUUGCUUCCCGACUCUCAGCACCCAUCGUUUACAGAUUUACACACACCUGUAAUUAUUUUGCCUUGAUAAAUCAGACACGUUCUAAAACACUGUGCACGUAAAGUCUCAUUUACAUAAAGAACCGCACUAAAUUACCAUUUCUGGUCACAAACCUUCCCUUUAAAGCUGCAAGAAAUGUCACUAAUUUCUGUCCACCAACAUGGAGAAAUCAAAGAAGACAAAGAAAAAAAACUUUUUUAGGACACAGAAAUAUAACUUUUGAUCACUGAAGUGGAAGCAAAACAAGCCAUACUUUUUGGUGCCCUCAGCAAUGGCUUGACAAAUAAGAGACAAAAUAUUGCUUGGGAGCAGGCUUGAGCUGUGGUAAAUUCUGCCUCAUCUGAGUGCAGAACAGUUAAUGAAAUUUAAAAAGUCAAGCUUUAUUUUUGCAACCAUAUUCAGACAUGGACCACAUAUGUGGGUGAUUUGCCUGAUCCCUCAGUCCCAGGCCUACCAGAAGGGUAUCCUUUUUGUGGAGCAAUUCAGCUGUGCCACAUGUUUUGACUGACGCAGUCCUGAAACAAGAGAUCAACGCAUCAAUUCUUGGACUCAAACAGCAGCUGGAGGAUGUAUGCAACGGCCUGAGAGAGAUUAAUCAAUCAUUGAAAGAACUUGUUGAUUGUGUCAAACAUGUGAGACAAUAAAUUCUGGUGCAAUGUAAAUGUGUUUUCCUUGUCAAUUUGAUUACAAUAUUUGGAAGAACAGAUAUCUAAAACUGUUGUAUGAUAUUGACUCUUGUCCUCAGUGCCAGAGCUAUGGGUGGUGGAAAAAACUCCCUGUCAGGCAUGGGCUCAUCGGGUCUGGGUGGAUGAUUCAGUGGAAUGCCAUUUUUGAUUGCAAUGUUGUGGAAUACACUCCAAGCCUUGACAAUGUAGCAAGCCUAAAAAGGAAUUUGCACAUUGUAUUACAUUCACGUAAUGGCAUUUGAAGGAAUGUCAUUUCAGAGGCAAACCUUGCUAGGCUAGUAUUGCAGUGUGCCUCCUGUCCCAGACAAGCACAACGCCCUUUCAGCAGGCCUAUGGUGCGCUGCACUGUUGUUCUUGUGCUUGCGUGGGCUUCGUUGUACCUUGACUCUUGUUGGUUUGAGGAGUUUGUGAGGGGAGUCAUCAGCCAUGUUUUUAACGGGUAACUCCGGUCUCCUGCAGUUAUGAAACACACCAUUCAGAUAUUGUUU
RNAcentral lists this long non-coding RNA (1220 nucleotides) under Salmo salar (Atlantic salmon). RNAcentral's name for it is "lncRNA (ENSSSAG00000082782.1, ENSSSAG00000088447.1)". Lineage: Eukaryota; Metazoa; Chordata; Actinopteri; Salmoniformes; Salmonidae. The record is from RNAcentral.